RNAcentral lists this long non-coding RNA (1475 nucleotides) under Arabidopsis lyrata. RNAcentral's name for it is "long non-coding RNA (ALYR_LNC003280)". Lineage: Eukaryota; Viridiplantae; Streptophyta; Magnoliopsida; Brassicales; Brassicaceae. The record is from RNAcentral.
AAAUAUUGAAAAAUUCCCAUAUAUAUAUAUAAAAGUUACGACGAAUUUUAGAUGCUAUCUAAAAUUUUAUACUGAGGCUUGAUUUCAGGCUUGAUUGAGGGAUGAGGAGCUGAACCGAAUGAUGGGCUUGGAGCCACUGGCACAGUGUCAUUAUCGUUUCUGCAUGCCGCAAUCGCCGUAAAUACCAGUCCGACAAACAUGUGAAUUGAUGACAAGGGCAUGCAAGACCUUAGAUACACUCUUAUACCUAAAAAAUAUUAGAAAGCAUAAGAAUCAAUUGGAAAAACUAAGUAAAAUAUUAAAGUAAAAAUGCAAAAUAAAGAAACUACAUUAAAUCGCAUUAGAGUGGACGAAACUAAACACUAAUAUGAAUGCUCAAGCAAAUAUUGAUCAAAAAUACUCUUACAAACAAAAUGAGUUCACGAUAAAGAAAAACAACCGAUAGAUCUACUCUUUGUAUAAAAAACUAAACGAUUAUAUAAGAAAGAAAUAUAAAAGAUGUAUUAAGAUGCGUUUUCCUCACCAUGGAAAUCAAAGAAAAGCUUCAAAGCUUCUCUUUUGAUGAGGUUCAUGCAUCCAAGUUUAUAGAUUUCUAAGCUUUAUAACAAAAACUAGACAAAAACCAAACUUUUUAAGCUAAGGAAGUCUAAAAGUUGCGUUUCUUCACUAUAGGCUCACAAGAAAACUAAAAUAAAACUUUAAAAAAUCGACUCUUUUAACUAAAUAGAACUUCUGAAAAAUAAUCAAAGUGAACGAAACGUGCUACGAAAAUAUAUAUACAGUAGCCUAGAUUUCUAAGUUUUCAUAGCACAUUGUUUUUUAAGAGAGGUUUAUACAAAGAGUAGAUCUAGCUUUCAAGCCUCAGUAGAACCGAAUACAUUAAAUCGCAUUAGAGUGAACGAAACUAAACACUAAUAUGAAUGCUCAAGCAAAUAUUGAUCAAAAAUACUCUUACAAACAAAAGGAGUUCUCGAUAAAAAAAACAACCGAUAGAUCUUUUCUUUGUAUAAACCUCUCUUAAAAAAAAAACGAUUUAUAAAACUCAACGAUAGAUCUACUCUUGUAUAAACCUCUCUUAAAAAAAAACGAUUUAUAAAACUCAACGAUAGAUAUACUCUUUGUAUAAAAAACUAAAUGAUUGUAUAAGAAACAAAUAUAAAAAAUGUAUUAAAAUGCGUUUUCCUCACCAUGGAAAUCAAAGAAAAGCUUCAAAGCUUCUCUUUUGAUGAGGUUCACGCAUCCAAAUUUAUAGAUUUCUAAGCUUUAUGACAAAAACUAGACAAAAACCAAAUUUUUUAAGCUAAGGAAGUCUAAAAGCUGCGUUUCUUCACCAUAGGCUCACAAGAAAACUAAAACAAAACUUAAAAAAAAAUCGACUCUUUUAACUAAAUAGAAAUUCUUAAAUAUAAUCAAAUAUCAUACCAUAUUACCAUUCUACUUUUUGUGGAGAAACACGAAUGAGAGGCAUUUUGUAG